RNAcentral lists this ribosomal RNA (301 nucleotides) under uncultured bacterium. Its description in RNAcentral is "partial 16S ribosomal RNA". It matches the Rfam family "Bacterial small subunit ribosomal RNA", at positions 509 to 809 of the family's 1533-position model. The record is from RNAcentral.
CAGCAGCCACGGGAAUACGAGGGGGGCAAGCGUUGUUCGGAAUUAUUGGGCGUAAAGGGCGCGUAGGCGGUUUGACAAGUCUGAUGUGAAAUCUCUGGGCUCAACCCAGAGUCUGCAUCGGAAACUGUCGAGCUUGAGUAUGGGAGAGGUGAGUGGAAUUUCCGGUGUAGCGGUGAAAUGCGUAGAUAUCGGAAGGAACACCUGUGGCGAAAGCGGCUCACUGGACCAUUACUGACGCUGAGGCGCGAAAGCUAGGGGAGCAAACAGGAUUAGAUACCCCCGUAGUCCCUGUCUCUUAUAA